UACGGGGGGAGCAAGCGUUGUUCGGAUUUACUGGGCGUAAAGGGCGCGUAGGCGGCGUAACAAGUCACUUGUGAAAUCUCCGGGCUUAACUCGGAGCGGUCAAGUGAUACUGUUGUGCUAGAGUGCGGAAGGGGCUACUGGAAUUCUCGGUGUAGCGGUGAAAUGCGUAGAUAUCGAGAGGAACACCUGCGGCGAAGGCGGGUAGCUGGGCCGACACUGACGCUGAAGCGCGAAGCUAGGGAGCGAACGGG
RNAcentral lists this ribosomal RNA (251 nucleotides) under uncultured bacterium. RNAcentral describes it as "partial 16S ribosomal RNA". It matches the Rfam family "Bacterial small subunit ribosomal RNA", at positions 524 to 776 of the family's 1533-position model. The record is from RNAcentral.